AGAGUUUGAUCAUGGCUCAGGAUGAACGCUAGCGGGAGGCCUAACACAUGCAAGCCGAGCGGUAUUGUUUCUUCGGAAAUGAGAGAGCGGCGUACGGGUGCGGAACACGUGUGCAACCUACCUUUAUCUGGAGGAUAGCCUUUCGAAAGGAAGAUUAAUUCUCCAUAAUAUAUUGACUGGCAUCAGUUGAUAUUGAAAGCUCCGGCGGAUAAAGAUGGGCACGCGCAAGAUUAGCUAGUUGGUGAGGUAACGGCUCACCAAGGCGAUGAUCUUUAGGGGCCUGAGAGGGUGAUCCCCCACACUGGUACUGAGACACGGACCAGACUCCUACGGGAGGCAGCAGUGAGGAAUAUUGGUCAAUGGGUGCAAGCCUGAACCAGCCAUCCCCGCGUGAAGGACGACUGCCCUAUGGGUUGUAAACUUCUUUUGUAUAGGGAUAAACCUACUCUCGUGAGGGUAGCUGAAGGUACUAUACGAAUAAGCACCGGCUAACUCCGUG
Molecule: ribosomal RNA, 499 nt
Filed under: uncultured bacterium
Lineage: Bacteria
Description: bacterial SSU rRNA
Rfam family: Bacterial small subunit ribosomal RNA
Source: RNAcentral